This 309-nucleotide ribosomal RNA is filed under the name Triticum aestivum (bread wheat). RNAcentral describes it as "partial small subunit ribosomal RNA". The record is from RNAcentral. Lineage: Eukaryota; Viridiplantae; Streptophyta; Magnoliopsida; Poales; Poaceae.
AUGGCCUGCCAUCAAAGAUCUGCGAGUCUGCCUUUGAUCCCUCACUCCACUGAAUCGAAAGUGGAGGUGGAGCUGCAGGGCCUGCAGACACGCAUAUCCUCACCUUCCGCGACCAUCGACACGAUGUGCGGCGGUCUGAGGAGUCUCGGAGACAUCUACAGCUCCAUAGAAGAGAUCAUGAGCCUGCCCAGCAACCGAGUCCCCUUGCAAAGGAAGAUGGUCGAGGAAGUGCUUGACAGGUCACUUGUCCUGGUGGAUCUCUGCAAUGCCAUGCAGGAGAGCCUCGCAGAGCUGAAGGCGAGCAUCUAG